GGCCUUAUAGCUCAAUUUGGAGGAGCAUUUACCUUCUAAGUAAAAGAUUAUGGGUUCGAUACCCAUUAAGGUCU
This 74-nucleotide transfer RNA is filed under the name Ectyoplasia ferox (brown encrusting octopus sponge). Its description in RNAcentral is "tRNA-Arg". It matches the Rfam family "tRNA". Rfam says of the family: Transfer RNA (tRNA) molecules are approximately 80 nucleotides in length. The record is from RNAcentral. Lineage: Eukaryota; Metazoa; Porifera; Demospongiae; Axinellida; Raspailiidae.